GGAUGAACGCUGGCGGCGUGCCUAAUCCAUGCAAGUCGAGCGAACAGACGAGGAGCUUGCUCCUUUGACGUUAGCGGCGGACGGGUGAGUAACACGUGGGUAACCUACCUAUAAGACUGGGAUAACUUCGGGAAACCGGAGCUAAUACCGGAUAAUAUUUCGAACCGCAUGGUUCGAUAGUGAAAGAUGGCUUUGCUAUCACUUAUAGAUGGACCUGCGCCGUAUUAGCUAGUUGGUAAGGUAACGGCUUACCAAGGCAACGAUACGUAGCCGACCUGAGAGGGUGAUCGGCCACACUGGAACUGAGACACGGUCCAGACUCCUACGGGAGGCAGCAGUAGGGAAUCUUCCGCAAUGGGCGAAAGCCUGACGGAGCAACGCCGCGUGAGUGAUGAAGGUCUUCGGAUCGUAAAACUCUGUUAUUAGGGAAGAACAAACGUGUAAGUAACUGUGCACGUCUUGACGGUACCUAAUCAGAAAGCCACGGCUAACUACGUG
This 498-nucleotide ribosomal RNA is filed under the name uncultured bacterium. RNAcentral describes it as "partial 16S ribosomal RNA". It matches the Rfam family "Bacterial small subunit ribosomal RNA", at positions 27 to 507 of the family's 1533-position model. The record is from RNAcentral.